ACCUGGACAGCAGCAGCAGUAAUAUUCAGCCCACGGGGAGGGCCUCAUGGCUUGUGUGACCACCACCACCAGGCGGGUCAAGCUUGGUGUGUGAAAACUUCUAGGCCUCUCGACGUAUCUGCCAUCUAUGACGGAACACACAGAACUAUAAAGACUAUUUGGUAGACAGGAAAAAUAGAAAAAUAUCUCUCCUUACACAUUUGGCCCAGAUGUUUUACUGCGUGUCAAGACAUUUGUGGGUGCCGCUGUCCCCAUAGCUGUUGCUGUAAAAUAUUGUAAUAUCAGAUUAUGUGUUCAAGAGU
Penaeus monodon (black tiger shrimp) is the source of this 302-nucleotide long non-coding RNA. RefSeq lists it as uncharacterized. NCBI's taxonomy places the organism in Eukaryota, Metazoa, Arthropoda, Malacostraca, Decapoda, Penaeidae. The record is from RefSeq and is a predicted model, not a curated record. The transcript is spliced from 3 exons.